GACGAACGCUGGCGGCGUGCUUAACACAUGCAAGUCGAGCGAUGAAGCUUCCUUCGGGAAGUGGAUUAGCGGCGGACGGGUGAGUAACACGUGGGUAACCUGCCUCAAAGUGGGGAAUAGCCUUCCGAAAGGGAGAUUAAUACCGCAUAAUAUGAGAGAAUCGCAUGAUUUUCUUAUCAAAGAUUUAUUGCUUUGAGAUGGACCCGCGGCGCAUUAGCUAGUUGGUAAGGUAACGGCUUACCAAGGCAACGAUGCGUAGCCGACCUGAGAGGGUGAUCGGCCACAUUGGAACUGAGACACGGUCCAGACUCCUACGGGAGGCAGCAGUGGGGAAUAUUGCGCAAUGGGGUAAACCCUGACGCAGCAACGCCGCGUGGGUGAUGAAGGUCUUCGGAUUGUAAAGCCCUGUUUUCUGGGACGAUAAUGACGGUACCAGAGGAGGAAGCCACGGCUAACUACGUGCCAGCCGCCGCGGUAA
RNAcentral lists this ribosomal RNA (478 nucleotides) under uncultured bacterium. RNAcentral describes it as "partial 16S ribosomal RNA". It matches the Rfam family "Bacterial small subunit ribosomal RNA", at positions 28 to 523 of the family's 1533-position model. The record is from RNAcentral.